UUUAUUUAAAUAAUUUAAUUAAAAUAUUGAUUUGUGGUAUCAAAAAUAUGAAAUAAAAUUCCUUUUAA
This 68-nucleotide transfer RNA is filed under the name Apocheima cinerarius. Its description in RNAcentral is "tRNA-His". The record is from RNAcentral. Lineage: Eukaryota; Metazoa; Arthropoda; Insecta; Lepidoptera; Geometridae.